GUGUUUGAGGAUGCAACAUCAUCAAGAUUCACAAAACUUGAAGGGAGAAUUAUUUAAUUAUAUAUUUAGGUUGAAUAUUGGAUAUAUAUAAUAUAGUUCAAAUCUCUUCUCUUCUCUCUUUGGGAAUCUUGAUGAUGCUGCAUCAUCUAACAU
RNAcentral lists this microRNA precursor (153 nucleotides) under Solanum tuberosum (potato). RNAcentral describes it as "mir-172 microRNA precursor family". It matches the Rfam family "mir-172 microRNA precursor family". Rfam says of the family: mir-172 has been experimentally verified in Arabidopsis thaliana. This family is thought to target mRNAs coding for APETALA2-like transcription factors. The mature sequence is excised from the 3' arm of the hairpin. The record is from Rfam by way of RNAcentral. Lineage: Eukaryota; Viridiplantae; Streptophyta; Magnoliopsida; Solanales; Solanaceae.